Long non-coding RNA from Ipomoea nil (Japanese morning glory), 655 nucleotides. RefSeq lists it as uncharacterized. The record is from RefSeq and is a predicted model, not a curated record. NCBI's taxonomy places the organism in Eukaryota, Viridiplantae, Streptophyta, Magnoliopsida, Solanales, Convolvulaceae. The transcript is spliced from 3 exons.
GUCGCACCUUUUUGCGUUUUUCUCGGUGAAUAUGCAGUACACGAGUCGUGGCCCAGGAUUCUGAAAUUCUUCCUGCCGGUGUCCAUAGCCCUUCAAUCUCCAUGGCUGGCUCAACCACCAGGCAAUCUAAGCGUCGAAUGAGUACUUCUUCAAUUGUUGUUCAAGUGCAGGAUUGGGAAGAUGGAUUUAAUGAUACAGCAACCUUAUGCAAGAAAAUAUAUGCUGAGCAUGAAAACCUUUGCUUGGGUAUUAGUAGGGAACAAUGUUGAAGAGAAUCCAGAUGUUGUGGUAGCUAUCUCAUCGACCGAUGACUUUGUUUCUCCCCCUGUUGUCGUGUCCAAUCCUACCCAAGUAGACCCGCGCUUCGGACGCUUCAGAUGAUGGGCUUGCUGUGGAUGGCGUAAAACUCUUCCCGGCUUCACGUUUCCUGGGAUUUCCCUUGGACGGUUGUGUAUUGUUCCUUUUUUUUUCCUGGUAAAAAAUGAUGUUACAGCCUCGCGCACAUGCCCAACUGUACUACUGCACACGCCAAAAACUCAAAAAGAAAUAAGAUGGGUAUCAUAAGCACUGUAAUGGGGUUUUCUUAUUUUUGGAUUUGGGAACACAUUUUGGAUUCUGGCUGGCAAUGUCAUGGUUAGGUUUUUUUUUUUUUUUG